AGAGCGAACGCUGGCGGCAGGCCUAACACAUGCAAGUCGAGCGCCCGUAGCAAUACGGGAGCGGCAGACGGGAUAGUAACACGUGGGAACGCGCCCUUCGGUUCGGAAUAACUCAGGGAAACUUGAGCUAAUACCGGAUACGCCCUUACGGGGAAAGAUUUAUUGCCGAAGGAACGGCCCGCGUCCGAUUAGCUAGUUGGUGAGGUAAUGGCUCACCAAGGCGACGAUCGGUAGCUGGUCUGAGAGGAUGACCAGCAUCACUGGGACUGAGACACGGCCCAGACUCCUACGGGAGGCAGCAGUGGGGAAUAUUGGACAAUGGGCGCAAGCCUGAUCCAGCCAUGCCGCGUGGAUGAUGAAGGCCUUAGGGUUGUAAAGUCCUUUUAACGGGGAAGAUAAUGACGGUACUCGUAGAAUAAGCCCGGCUAACUUCGCGCCAGCAGCCGC
Molecule: ribosomal RNA, 447 nt
Filed under: uncultured bacterium
Lineage: Bacteria
Description: SSU rRNA
Rfam family: Bacterial small subunit ribosomal RNA
Source: RNAcentral